UACGGAGGGAGCUAGCGUUGUUCGGAAUCACUGGGCGUAAAGCGCACGUAGGCGGCUACUCAAGUCGGGGGUGAAAGACCGGGGCUCAACCCCGGAACUGCCCUCGAAACUAGGUAGCUAGAAUCUUGGAGAGGCGAGUGGAAUUCCGAGUGUAGAGGUGAAAUUCGUAGAUAUUCGGAAGAACACCAGUGGCGAAGGCGACUCGCUGGACAAGUAUUGACGCUUAGGUGCGAAAGCGUGGGGAGCAAACAGG
This 253-nucleotide ribosomal RNA is filed under the name uncultured bacterium. RNAcentral's name for it is "partial 16S ribosomal RNA". It matches the Rfam family "Bacterial small subunit ribosomal RNA", at positions 524 to 776 of the family's 1533-position model. The record is from RNAcentral.